GCCCGACACGACCGUACCGCAAACCGACACUGGUGCGCGAGAUGAGUAUUCUCAGGCGCUUGAGAGAACUCGGGAGAAGGAACUCGGCAAAUUGACACCGUAACUUCGGAAGAAGGUGUGCCUUUAGUAGGUGAACCUGUACAAGGGGAGCCCAAUGUGGUUGCAAAAAAUCGGUGGCUGCGACUGUUUAAUAAAAACACAGCACUCUGCAAACACGAAAGUGGACGUAUAGGGUGUGACGCCUGCCCGGUGCUGGAAGAUUAAGUGAUGGGGUGCAAGCUCUUGAUCGAAGUCCCAGUAAACGGCGGCCGUAACCAUAACGGUCCUAAGGUAGCGAAAUUCCUUGUCGGGUAAGUUCCGACCUGCACGAAUGGCGUAACGAUGGCCACACUGUCUCCUCCCGAGACUCAGCGAAGUUGAAAUGUUUGUGAUGAUGCAAUCUCCCCGCGGAAAGACGGAAAGACCCCAUGAACCUUUACUGUAGCUUUGUAUUGGACUUUGAACGGAUCUGUGUAGAUAGGUGGGAGGCUUUGAAGCAGGGUCGCUAGAUCUUGUGGAGCCAACGUUGAAAUACCACCCUGGUGCGUUUGAGGUUCUAACCUAGGCCCGUUAUCCGGGCCGGGGACAGUGCAUGGUAGGCAGUUUGACUGGGGCGGUCUCCUCCCAAAGCGUAACGGAGGAGUUCGAAGGUACGCUAGUUACGGUCGGACAUCGUGACGAUAGUGCAAUGGCAUAAGCGUGCUUAACUGCGAGACUGACAAGUCGAGCAGAUGCGAAAGCAGGACAUAGUGAUCCGGUGGUUCUGUAUGGAAGGGCCAUCGCUCAACGGAUAAAAGGUACUCUGGGGAUAACAGGCUGAUACCGCCCAAGAGUUCAUAUCGACGGCGGUGUUUGGCACCUCGAUGUCGGCUCAUCUCAUCCUGGGGCUGUAGCCGGUCCCAAGGGUAUGGCUGUUCGCCAUUUAAAGAGGUACGUGAGCUGGGUUUAAAACGUCGUGAGACAGUUUGGUCCCUAUCUUCCGUGGGCGCUGCAGAUUUGAGGAAGCCUGCUCCUAGUACGGGAGGACCGGAGUGGACGCACCUCUGGUGUACCUGUUGUCACGCCAGUGGCAUUGCAGGGUAGCUAAGUGCGGAAGAGAUAACCGCUGAAAGCAUCUAAGCGGGAAACUCGUUUCAAGAUGAGAUCUGCCGGGGCCUUGAGCCCCCUGAAGAGUCGUUCUAGACCAGGACGUUGAUAGGUCAGGUGUGGAAGCGCAGUAAUGCGUUAAGCUAACUGAUACUAAUUGCUCGUGCGGCUUGACCU
Molecule: ribosomal RNA, 1302 nt
Filed under: metagenome
Description: bacterial LSU rRNA
Rfam family: Bacterial large subunit ribosomal RNA
Source: RNAcentral